GGACAGUGAGAGCCUCUCGAGUGAGGAGAUCUGAGGAUCGGGAUCGUUGGUGACACUCGUGUGCCAACCCCUCCAGCGGCAGGAGGAGAUCGCCAUCCCUGGAGAACCCCACCCCGAACCCCUGGGAACUCCUCCGGAAUGAUCAAUAAACCCUCAGCAGAG
This is a non-coding RNA of Lonchura striata (white-rumped munia), 162 nucleotides long. NCBI's taxonomy places the organism in Eukaryota, Metazoa, Chordata, Aves, Passeriformes, Estrildidae. The record is from RefSeq and is a predicted model, not a curated record.